UACGUAUGGUGCAAGCGUUAUCCGGAUUUACUGGGUGUAAAGGGAGCGUAGACGGCUGUGCAAGUCUGAAGUGAAAGGCCGGGGCCCAACCCCGGGAGUGCUUUGGAAACUGUGCGGCUAGAGUGUCGGAGAGGCAAGUGGAAUUCCCAGUGUAGCGGUGAAAUGCGUAGAUAUUGGGAGGAACACCAGUGGCGAAGGCGUCUUGCUGGAUGAUGACUGACGUUGAGGCUCGAAAGCGUGGGGAGCAAACAGG
This 253-nucleotide ribosomal RNA is filed under the name uncultured bacterium. Its description in RNAcentral is "partial 16S ribosomal RNA". It matches the Rfam family "Bacterial small subunit ribosomal RNA", at positions 524 to 776 of the family's 1533-position model. The record is from RNAcentral.